UUCGGUGUAGAAGGAAGGGCACUGUGCUUGAUGUCUGUCAUUUUCACACUGCUCCUGCCUUCUUACAG
This 68-nucleotide microRNA precursor is filed under the name Mus pahari (shrew mouse). Its description in RNAcentral is "microRNA 7038 (MGP_PahariEiJ_G0007296.1)". The record is from RNAcentral. Lineage: Eukaryota; Metazoa; Chordata; Mammalia; Rodentia; Muridae.